RNAcentral lists this ribosomal RNA (661 nucleotides) under Limosilactobacillus fermentum. RNAcentral describes it as "bacterial SSU rRNA". It matches the Rfam family "Bacterial small subunit ribosomal RNA", at positions 371 to 1023 of the family's 1533-position model. The record is from RNAcentral. Lineage: Bacteria; Bacillati; Bacillota; Bacilli; Lactobacillales; Lactobacillaceae.
AUGGGCGCAAGCCUGAUGGAGCAACACCGCGUGAGUGAAGAAGGGUUUCGGCUCGUAAAGCUCUGUUGUUAAAGAAGAACACGUAUGAGAGUAACUGUUCAUACGUUGACGGUAUUUAACCAGAAAGUCACGGCUAACUACGUGCCAGCAGCCGCGGUAAUACGUAGGUGGCAAGCGUUAUCCGGAUUUAUUGGGCGUAAAGAGAGUGCAGGCGGUUUUCUAAGUCUGAUGUGAAAGCCUUCGGCUUAACCGGAGAAGUGCAUCGGAAACUGGAUAACUUGAGUGCAGAAGAGGGUAGUGGAACUCCAUGUGUAGCGGUGGAAUGCGUAGAUAUAUGGAAGAACACCAGUGGCGAAGGCGGCUACCUGGUCUGCAACUGACGCUGAGACUCGAAAGCAUGGGUAGCGAACAGGAUUAGAUACCCUGGUAGUCCAUGCCGUAAACGAUGAGUGCUAGGUGUUGGAGGGUUUCCGCCCUUCAGUGCCGGAGCUAACGCAUUAAGCACUCCGCCUGGGGAGUACGACCGCAAGGUUGAAACUCAAAGGAAUAGACGGGGGCCCGCACAAGUGGUGGAGCAUGUGGUUUAAUUCGAAGCUACGCGAAGAACCUUACCAGGUCUUGACAUCUUGCGCCAACCCUAGAGAUAGGGCGUUUCCUUCGG